This 458-nucleotide ribosomal RNA is filed under the name Arabidopsis thaliana (thale cress). Lineage: Eukaryota; Viridiplantae; Streptophyta; Magnoliopsida; Brassicales; Brassicaceae. The record is from RNAcentral.
GGCAAACUUGGCAUGUGAUACCUUUUCGGAAAGCCCAAAGAGAGCCCUCCGACGAAAGAAGCAAGACAAUGGAACAUUUCCAUUGACUUUUGGUCGACUCCAAAUUUUGACCUUUAAGUACUUUUUCGGGCACUUCCGUGAUUUGUGCUAUAUUACGGACCCAAAAUUACUUUUUCAAGCAUUGUUUUCGAAUAUUUUUCAUGCAUCAAAGCUCGUUAAGACUAGAUGGGGUAUCCCUACAUGGCGGGUGGGACCCACGGCGAACGGUUCAUCGAGACUUAAAAAAGAAUAUAUACGAUUGCAUUGCAUAUACUAACGGAUGCGAUCAUACCAGCACUAAUGCACCGGAUCCCAUCAGAACUCCGCAGCUAAGCGUGCUUGGGCGAGAGUAGUACUAGAAUGGGUGACCUCCCGGGAAGUCCUCGUGUUGCAUCCCUCUUUUAUGUUUAACCUUUUUU